Long non-coding RNA from Mytilus californianus (California mussel), 802 nucleotides. RefSeq lists it as uncharacterized. The transcript is spliced from 4 exons. NCBI's taxonomy places the organism in Eukaryota, Metazoa, Mollusca, Bivalvia, Mytilida, Mytilidae. The record is from RefSeq and is a predicted model, not a curated record.
UGAGCUUUACUUAACAUUUUGUUGGUGGAAACAAUGUUAGAAAAAAAAUUUACGGAAUUUUCCUUUUAAAGAUGCCGUGGACGCUAAAAUGUAUUCCCAUCCUUUCAAAAAUAAAGGAAAAGGUUUCCUGCAGAAUACAGUCGUUUCUAACUCUUUAUCUAUCAGCUUUAAUGUUUGUGAUAGCAGUUUCUACAAAUGAAUGGUUUGUAUGUGGAACCAAAGUGAAAACUGGCAUAUGGAGUAUAUGUCUCUUCCAACCAGCAUCGAACCACUGGAAAUGUGAUUCUUUUAAAUCUGAUUUUGCAGUGGCUGUUCAGGCAUUUUCGAUGAUGUGUAUUUUUGGAUAUGUUCUAACUGUAGUAUUUCUUGUCAUCUUUAUAAAAUGUCCAACCUCAACAUCUACAAUGUUCUCUCUGACAUUGUCUUUAUGUUUGCUGUGUUUAAGUAUAGCAUGUUUACAGAUGAUGACAAUGAUAGUGUAUGCCAUCAAAGUUAAAGAUAGUAUAAUCGAUGUUAUCAGAAUGAACUUCUCUCAACAGAAUUCAUCCAUGUCAUGGUCCUUUGGUUUAGCACUGAUCUCUGUUGUCAUGACAACUGUAUCAGCCGUUCUAGCCUUCAGCGAGAUAAGAAAAAUAACCGGCGGAGACACAGUUGGUGUCUCAGAUGGGGUCUGAACCUCAGCAUGUUUACACCAUGUUGUUUGAGACAUAUACAUUUGUUGCUUAAAAUUUGCUUGCCAGAUUUGUUAUAUAAAAUAUUUAGUGCUUCAAUGUUAAAGAAGAAUAUAGAUUGUUUUAUAUAA